UGUGGGAGCGAGCUUGCUCGCGAUGGCGGUCGUUCAGUUAGCAAUGAUGUUGACUGACACACCGCUAUCGCGAGCAAGCUCGCUCCCACA
RNAcentral lists this non-coding RNA (90 nucleotides) under Pseudomonas sp. NFACC56-3. The record is from RNAcentral. Lineage: Bacteria; Pseudomonadati; Pseudomonadota; Gammaproteobacteria; Pseudomonadales; Pseudomonadaceae. RNAcentral also lists the same sequence under 1 other name.